CAGCAGCCGCGGUAAUACAGAGGGUGCGAGCGUUAAUCGGAUUUACUGGGCGUAAAGCGUGCGUAGGCGGCUUUUUAAGUCGGAUGUGAAAUCCCUGAGCUUAACUUAGGAAUUGCAUUCGAUACUGGGAAGCUAGAGUAUGGGAGAGGAUGGUAGAAUUCCAGGUGUAGCGGUGAAAUGCGUAGAGAUCUGGAGGAAUACCGAUGGCGAAGGCAGCCAUCUGGCCUAAUACUGACGCUGAGGUACGAAAGCAUGGGGAGCAAACAGGAUUAGAUACCCCCGUGUCCCUGUCUCUUAUACC
Molecule: ribosomal RNA, 301 nt
Filed under: uncultured bacterium
Lineage: Bacteria
Description: partial 16S ribosomal RNA
Rfam family: Bacterial small subunit ribosomal RNA
Source: RNAcentral